UGAAAUACUGUGAUAAGGAAUAGUAGAAUUUCGGAAGUAUUCAGAGAACUGUUGGUUGGUGCGAAGCAGUUGCAGAAGGAAUUUGAACUCGCCUUUGAGUAGCUCACUGAACAGACGAUAACUUGUCAGUAGGUGUAGCCGGAACCCAACCGUUAUAUUAGGGAGGAUAUACGACGAUGAUUGUCCGUAUCUGCAAUGAGUGCAUACAACGAUGUAUGAAUUAGAGUGGUACCGCGUAGGUAAUAGCCUUACGUCUCUUAG
Molecule: non-coding RNA, 261 nt
Filed under: Clostridium sp.
Lineage: Bacteria; Bacillati; Bacillota; Clostridia; Eubacteriales; Clostridiaceae
Description: T-box sequence
Rfam family: T-box leader
About the family: Uncharged tRNA acts as the effector for transcription antitermination of genes in the T-box leader family. T-boxes are found upstream of many aminoacyl-tRNA synthetase genes and some amino acid biosynthetic genes usually in Gram-positive bacteria.
Source: RNAcentral